UACAGAGGGUGCAAGCGUUAAUCGGAAUUACUGGGCGUAAAGUGUGCGCAGGCGGCCGCGCAAGUCGAGUGUGAAAGCCCCGAGCUUAACUUGGGAAUUGCGCUCGAAACUACGUGGCUGGAGUGUGGCAGAGGAAGGUGGAAUUCCACGUGUAGCGGUGAAAUGCGUAGAGAUGUGGAGGAACACCAAUGGCGAAGGCAGCCUUCUGGGCCAACACUGACGCUCAUGCACGAAAGCGUGGGGAGCAAACAGG
RNAcentral lists this ribosomal RNA (253 nucleotides) under uncultured bacterium. Its description in RNAcentral is "partial 16S ribosomal RNA". It matches the Rfam family "Bacterial small subunit ribosomal RNA", at positions 524 to 776 of the family's 1533-position model. The record is from RNAcentral.